CAUGCAGUCGAACGAUUGCCUUCGGGUGAUAGUGGCGCACGGGUGCGUAACGCGUGGGAAUCUGCCCUUAGGUUCGGAAUAACAGCUGGAAACGGCUGCUAAUACCGGAUGAUAUCGCGAGAUCAAAGAUUUAUCGCCUGAGGAUGAGCCCGCGUUGGAUUAGGUAGUUGGUGGGGUAAAGGCCUACCAAGCCGACGAUCCAUAGCUGGUCUGAGAGGAUGAUCAGCCACACUGGGACUGAGACACGGCCCAGACUCCUACGGGAGGCAGCAGUGGGGAAUAUUGGACAAUGGGCGCAAGCCUGAUCCAGCAAUGCCGCGUGAGUGAUGAAGGCCCUAGGGUUGUAAAGCUCUUUUACCCGGGAAGAUAAUGACUGUACCGGGAGAAUAAGCCCCGGCUAACUCCGUGCCAGCA
RNAcentral lists this ribosomal RNA (414 nucleotides) under Sphingomonas paucimobilis. RNAcentral describes it as "bacterial SSU rRNA". It matches the Rfam family "Bacterial small subunit ribosomal RNA", at positions 54 to 513 of the family's 1533-position model. The record is from RNAcentral. Lineage: Bacteria; Pseudomonadati; Pseudomonadota; Alphaproteobacteria; Sphingomonadales; Sphingomonadaceae.